Molecule: ribosomal RNA, 88 nt
Filed under: Pseudomonas syringae
Lineage: Bacteria; Pseudomonadati; Pseudomonadota; Gammaproteobacteria; Pseudomonadales; Pseudomonadaceae
Source: RNAcentral
CUGAUCCCAUCCAGAACUCAGUAGUGAAACGAUGUAUCGCCGAUGGUAGUGUGGGGUUUCCCCAUGUGAGAGUAGGUCAUCGUCAAGA